AUGCGAUAAGUAGUGUGAAUUGCAUAAUUUUGUGAAUCAUCGAAUCUUUGAACGCAAAUUGCACUCCCUGGUAUUCCGGGGAGUAUGCCUGUUUGAGGGUCGUUAGAAUAAAAAUCGAGGCGUCGCUCUUUUUUUUAAGGGUGAUCGCGUCGGAAUUGAGCCGUCUUGCAAAUGUUAAUUCAUGUCAAAGUGGCUUAAAAUUCAUCCAUCCGGUACGAUUAAAGCGUAUUUAAGAUCAAUGUUGAUUAAGAACGCGCGAUGACGUACCAUCUCAUGUAGUACGUUUGACCUGGCGUCGUCAGGAUCAUUCGUAUACGAUACUCAAACUUUUGACCUCAAAUCAGGUAAGAAUACCCGCUGAACUUAA
This 367-nucleotide unclassified non-coding RNA is filed under the name uncultured Funneliformis. Its description in RNAcentral is "partial contains 5.8S ribosomal RNA, internal transcribed spacer 2, and large subunit ribosomal RNA". The stretch from base 1 to 102 matches the Rfam family "5.8S ribosomal RNA", at positions 53 to 154 of the family's 154-position model. The record is from RNAcentral. Lineage: Eukaryota; Fungi; Glomeromycota; Glomeromycetes; Glomerales; Glomeraceae.